RNAcentral lists this ribosomal RNA (301 nucleotides) under uncultured bacterium. RNAcentral describes it as "partial 16S ribosomal RNA". It matches the Rfam family "Bacterial small subunit ribosomal RNA", at positions 510 to 809 of the family's 1533-position model. The record is from RNAcentral.
CACCGCCGCGGUAAUACGUAGGUCCCGAGCGUUGUCCGGAUUUAUUGGGCGUAAAGGGAGCGCAGGCGGUUUAGUAAGUCUGAAGCUAAAGGCAUUGGCUCAACCAAUGUAUGCUUUGGAAACUGUUAGCCUUGAGUGCAGAAGGGGAGAGUGGAAUUCCAUGUGUAGCGGUGAAAUGCGUAGAUAUAUGGAGGAACACCGGUGGCGAAAGCGGCUCUCUGGUCUGUCACUGACGCUGAGGCUCGAAAGCGUGGGCAGCGAACAGGAUUAGAUACCCGCGUAGUCCCUGUCUCUUAUACAC